Non-coding RNA from Puma concolor (puma), 203 nucleotides. NCBI's taxonomy places the organism in Eukaryota, Metazoa, Chordata, Mammalia, Carnivora, Felidae. The record is from RefSeq and is a predicted model, not a curated record.
GCUAUGGAGCACUUAGCAUUGCAUAUUACUACAGGAGAUCAGCUUCUGUAGAUAUUCAUGACUUUGUGGAUCUGAAAAGAAAAUAAGUGAAUCAAUCUGCACAGAAAACACGAAAGUGAGAAUGGAGAAGAAGCUAUUUCACCCAUGAAAUGGGCCAGUGAGAUUCCUCACCUCCAGUCCUGGAAGAUGCCUGGAAACCGGUG